Long non-coding RNA from Cyprinus carpio (common carp), 1204 nucleotides. Lineage: Eukaryota; Metazoa; Chordata; Actinopteri; Cypriniformes; Cyprinidae. The record is from Ensembl.
AAUAAUAAUAAUACUUAUUCUUAUAUUUCCCCUGUAAAAGGCAUACCUGAAGUAGUUUCGGUGUCAUAUGACAAUCAAACAAUGUCAGAGAACAAUAUAUCACAAAUAAAAGACCUGAAAAAACUGGGUUCUACUUGUCAAUUCAGACUAAUAAAUUAAAUCAAAGUUUCUCCUGAACAGCAUGUAUGCUGUCUUGAAUAGCUGGUGGCGUUUGAACGCAUGGUUCAAAAUGAAGUAGACUUGCAUGGAUAAAUCUCCAAGACAAAUUUGUUCUUAAAACUAAAAUGUGCAAUUAUUCAUGUUUUCAUUGUAGUUAUCUACAGACAGAAACGAGCCUUCGCCUUUUGAAAGUGUUGUACAUUUUGAAAUGUGAACUUUGAUGUUUUGGUCUCUUGUUUGCAGUGAUUAAUAGAAGAACCACAGCUACACCAACUCGUGCCCAAAAUGCAGACUUCAGUGAAUCUGUGAUACGAACCAUCCUGACCAAUCAAGAAGUCAUCAAAGAUCAGAUGGGCAUUUUGGUGAAGCUAGUUCAUCAGUUAAAGGGAACUGCAGAAGAGAGCCCAUCUCUACCACCGGAAACACUUCCGGUUGCAACCCUUCAAGAGCUUCUGGUUUUGAAGGGACAGCUGCUUGAUCAAGAAUUCAAGAAAACUCUGAGGCUGUACGAAGAAACCGACUUACAGCAACAUCAACAGAUCAAGAAACUGAACUGUGGAUUAAAAGGUGGCUCCAUCUUGCUGGAGACAGAGAUGGAGGACGCCGUGCCAGGCAGCGAACUGAUAACUGAUGUAACUGAGACAGUCUACUUGUUAGGAACAAUGCUAUAGUUCAGCAUACUUUCAGCUACAUACUUUAAUUGUUGUGACAAAUUUAAAGUUUAAUUUGUUUUGUUAACUUUGUUCAAUGUGGCUUAGUUUUAUUCUGUUUUCAGCCAUUAUAAUGGGUGUUUUUUGCAUUGAGUUAGAGUGGAGCAACCAUCAAAAAAUAUAUUUAACGCUAGGCAGAGGUGCUGUCAUUUCGUGAACACAAGUUGAUUGUGACAGAGGACAUUAGACACUAUUUUUUCCCAAAACUUACAAGGGGGAAUGCAAACGUUGUUCUACAGGCAUUUUUUGUUUAUUGGCCCAUUCAGAAAAUCUAACAUUUUCUAUUUAGCUCACUGUUCUUUAAUUUUAAUAAAUGGAAAUGAAUAACAAAAGCA